GCGGGAUUAGCUCACGCUGCGGAGAGCACCUGUUUAACAUGCAGGAGGUCGAGGGUUCGAUUCCUUCAUCCCGUACCA
RNAcentral lists this transfer RNA (78 nucleotides) under marine sediment metagenome. Its description in RNAcentral is "tRNA-Val". It matches the Rfam family "tRNA". Rfam says of the family: Transfer RNA (tRNA) molecules are approximately 80 nucleotides in length. Their secondary structure includes four short double-helical elements and three loops (D, anti-codon, and T loops). The record is from RNAcentral.